UCAUGGUCUUGCAAGAAAACUAUA
This 24-nucleotide non-coding RNA is filed under the name Arabidopsis thaliana (thale cress). The record is from RNAcentral. Lineage: Eukaryota; Viridiplantae; Streptophyta; Magnoliopsida; Brassicales; Brassicaceae.